AUAAAUUCGAGGUUUUGCAUAGCCAGAAUAAAUCUCAUUCACUCAAUCAAAAUUGAAGCUAUUCGAAAUGACUAAGUUUUCAUUCAUGCCAAUUCUGGUUCUUUUCUUUAUUUUUUCAGUUAUAACAAUGACAUGUCAAGCAGAUCAAGUAUGUACCACACCCCGUGAAGGUGAUUGUUUCCUUGCUGGAUGUCGACAAUGGUGCUCUCAAACUUAUAAUGGUAACGGACAUUGUGAGGCCUAUGGGAAUCCUACUAGUCCUAAAUAUAGAUGUAUUUGCGUACAUAAGUGUUAAGUCUAUAAAAAAAAUAUAGCACAAAUUCUCAAUUUUAAAUGUAAGAGCAUAUCUAAAUAAAUUCAAUAAAAUCAUGGCAUUUAUAA
Long non-coding RNA from Vicia villosa (hairy vetch), 381 nucleotides. RefSeq lists it as uncharacterized. NCBI's taxonomy places the organism in Eukaryota, Viridiplantae, Streptophyta, Magnoliopsida, Fabales, Fabaceae. The record is from RefSeq and is a predicted model, not a curated record. The transcript has 2 exons.